RNAcentral lists this transfer RNA (72 nucleotides) under Cavia porcellus (domestic guinea pig). It matches the Rfam family "tRNA". From Rfam's summary of the family: Transfer RNA (tRNA) molecules are approximately 80 nucleotides in length. Lineage: Eukaryota; Metazoa; Chordata; Mammalia; Rodentia; Caviidae. The record is from Rfam by way of RNAcentral.
GGAGAAGUAGCUUAGUGGCAGAGUGCUCACCCAGCAUGUGAAAGGACCUGGGUUUAAGCCCCAGUACUUUCA